Molecule: long non-coding RNA, 494 nt
Organism: Apus apus (common swift)
Lineage: Eukaryota; Metazoa; Chordata; Aves; Apodiformes; Apodidae
Exons: 4
Source: RefSeq, a predicted model, not a curated record
UUGGGGCGGCGGUUGGCGGGGCGGGCAUGGCCCGGCGGCUCUGGAGGGGGCUGCUGGCGCUGGAGGCGGCCGGGCUGCUCGGCGCCCUCCUGCUCUACCGCGCCAUGGAGCGCAGCCAAGAUUUCAGAUAUACAAUGCAGAAGAGGUUUCCGUCGAUUCUAGAAGUGUAUUACAAAUCCAAUGAGUGGUCUGGAAUUCACGGCAUAAGGGAGAAUGACCAAAUUACAUGGCUAAGCAGCAAGAACUGAAGUAAGAAAGGCCUCUGUGCCUGAACUGUUUCUUCCUUUUAAUGAUGCUUUUCGCAUCCCUGUUGUGAAGCCACUUGUCACGCUCUAUUUCCCACUGGAUCUGUUUGACAUCUGUAAGAGGAAAGAUGAGAAAUGAGGAGCUGAUGGAUACCUCUGAUCAUGAUGGAAAUACAAAUGAAUCACAUAAAAGUUAAAACUUGGCUACUGUAUUUAUAAAUGUUAAUAAAGUGCAAAUCUUUUUUUUGA